Molecule: long non-coding RNA, 407 nt
Filed under: Fukomys damarensis (Damara mole-rat)
Lineage: Eukaryota; Metazoa; Chordata; Mammalia; Rodentia; Bathyergidae
Description: lncRNA (ENSFDAG00000026959.1)
Source: RNAcentral
GAGGGGCCAGGAUGCUGCAGGGUUCCACCUGUGCCUGUCUCGGUGUCCAAGUGCUUCGGACCAGGCUGGGUCCUCACCGGACUUUCCCACUGGAGGAGGCCGCCCUGGAGCGAAACCAUUUCCUCCCUGCAGUGACCCCGGCCGAAGCGUCAGUGUGGAGCUGUCCCCCUGGUUAAGAUAAUGGGGCGGAAGGAGAAACACGCCCGCAAGAUUAAGGAGCCCAGCCUGGCGUGGCACCCGGAAAACCUGCUGCAAUAUUUGUGGUGUGCAAACAUUCAUCAGGGCUCUUUGUAUACGGGCUUCUGAGCUGGAGGCCAACUUCCAAAGGCCUUCACCCAUUUCAGAACGGGACCAGGAGCUCACAGCUGUGUUUGGAGAUCUAACACACACUUUCAUUCGGAGAACAG